UAUCACCUCUACUAUUUGACAUUGUUAUUAGAAAUGCUAGCAGUAGCAAUUAGAGAAGAAAAAGAAUACUUAGUUUAUGUAGUCAGUGACAAAAUCUUUUCUCUACCUUCACCUCUCUUCCUCUCUCAAAGUCAAAUGUCCCCCAUCUUUCUUUCCUAGGCUGAAUGGAUAAUCCCACACAGUUGAGUAAAAGAGAUUCUUACUCAAGGAAUAUGCUAUUAAUUCCUAACUAGGUAAGAUGUUCUCCAUCAGGAAUGAAGAAAAGAUAUCACAAUUUAUAGUUAUUGCAUAUAAAUAUGGAUUUGGAGACACAGACCCUUUUCAAGCUUGAAAGCAACAAGUCUUUAACUUACCUGAGAGCACUGCCUAGAGUUGACUUCUGGAAGCCAAGAACUGCAGGAGGAGCCACACAGAGAGCAACACCUGAGAACAGGCAAAAGGAUUUCAAUUUAUUUUCCAAAGAUUCAUGUUGAAUUGAAACGAAGAUAAUAUGGAGCAUCAACACAGACAACUGACCUACUGGCUACCUCAAGCACUUUAACUAACUGGAAGGUUUGAGGGAUGGGGGAAGCCUGCAGUUCUGAGAGAUCAGUCCCAGCAUUGCCAUUUUUUACCCCUGGCAGCAUUGAAGAGAUCCCUAUCUCAGAAUUUCUGGAGAAUCCAAAAUUUCUGUGCCCCUGAAGUCAGUUAUCAUUUCAUAAGGGCUUGAAGGGUUUUGUCAGUCAAUAAUAAACUCAGAACAUUUUUUUCA
This 751-nucleotide long non-coding RNA is filed under the name Monodelphis domestica (gray short-tailed opossum). RNAcentral's name for it is "lncRNA (ENSMODG00000041799.1)". Lineage: Eukaryota; Metazoa; Chordata; Mammalia; Didelphimorphia; Didelphidae. The record is from RNAcentral.